GACGAACGCUGGCGGCGUGCCUAACACAUGCAAGUCGAACGAAACUUCUUUAAAGGAUUUCUUCGGAAUGAAUUUGAUUAAGUUUAGUGGCGGACGGGUGAGUAACGCGUGAGUAACCUGCCUCUAAGAGGGGAAUAACAUUCUGAAAAGAAUGCUAAUACCGCAUAACAUAUAUUUAUCGCAUGGUAGAUAUAUCAAAGAUUUAUCGCUUAGAGAUGGACUCGCGUCCGAUUAGUUAGUUGGUGAGGUAACGGCUCACCAAGACCGCGAUCGGUAGCCGGACUGAGAGGUUGAACGGCCACAUUGGGACUGAGACACGGCCCAGACUCCUACGGGAGGCAGCAGUGGGGGAUAUUGCGCAAUGGGGGAAACCCUGACGCAGCAACGCCGCGUGAAGGAUGAAGGUCUUCGGAUUGUAAACUUCUUUUAUUAAGGACGAAGAAAGUGAC
This 449-nucleotide ribosomal RNA is filed under the name uncultured bacterium. Its description in RNAcentral is "bacterial SSU rRNA". It matches the Rfam family "Bacterial small subunit ribosomal RNA", at positions 28 to 458 of the family's 1533-position model. The record is from RNAcentral.